Molecule: non-coding RNA, 30 nt
Filed under: Mus musculus (house mouse)
Lineage: Eukaryota; Metazoa; Chordata; Mammalia; Rodentia; Muridae
Source: RNAcentral
UGCCAACUGAGCUACAUCCUAAGCCCCAAA